GUAAAACUUUGAUAAUUUGCUCUUUGUCAUAUUUAUAUGUUAUUGAUAUCGUAUUUUCUCCCCCAGUGAAACAUAUUAAUAAAGCAUCUAUAUAUGCUUAUAAAUAACUGAUAGCGGAAGGUUGCAUACGGUAAAACUCUAUGGAAUUGGACGUCUUCGAUCAUCAAUAAAAAGCCGAGGUAUUGUCGCAUGCAAGGUUUCCGUAACUUUACUCCGAGAUGAAUUAAUGACGGAAAUGGCUUCGCUACAAGUGGGAUGGAAGUUUUUAAAAUGAGAAAUAUUAUUUUAUCUUUUUGCCUAUUUUUGAUAUUGAGAACAACGAACGGUGGACGGUAUCAGUAUUGUUCAGACGGAUGCUGUGAACAUCAAUUUUGUGCCUUUAAAGCUAUUUGCUAUCCCAGGCUUAACUGUAAACAAGGAUGCCCAGAUGGCUCCUGUGAAAAUGGAUUAUGUAUGCCACACAAAAUGUGUUUCCUUAACUCAGCGUGUAAAAUGGGGCAUGUUUGUACAAUGAACUUUAACCUUGGUUACAGAACAUGUCAGUAUGAUCUGGAUAUUGGAAGAUCGUUGUGUGUUGAUAGAUUUGGUCGGCCGGAUGUCAAAAAAUACCCAUGAUUCAGUAUCGUUUAAUUGAUCUUUGCAAUUAUCACCUCUUCGUAUUACUGUCAUGUUUGUCUUAAUCACAGCAACGUGUACAAUGCACGUCAAUCAGAACUGUCUGUGAUUGAGAGAUUAAAAGCAAAAUAAUUAGGGAACGAACUAUUCAUACCGUGCUUAAUUCACUGAAAGAUAUACAUCACUACAUAAAAUUGAAAAGGAACAGUUAAACAUGAUUUUUAAACAAGAUUGCGAAUAAAUGUUGGACAUGUAACUGUUUUUUUCUUGUCUCUUUUUUAAUUAAAUUCAUAAUUAUCAUUCA
Molecule: long non-coding RNA, 919 nt
Organism: Mytilus californianus (California mussel)
Lineage: Eukaryota; Metazoa; Mollusca; Bivalvia; Mytilida; Mytilidae
Exons: 2
Source: RefSeq, a predicted model, not a curated record